GGUGUGAUCCACCCUAGAGAAACACUGAGUACCUUUUAGCAGGAAGCCGGCGUAGCCAGAUGUGUACACUUACUGCACCACGCCUGAGCACAGGGCAGCCUGUGUAACACUUGGAAGUCUUGGCGCUUGCUAUAAUCAGGUGCUGUUUUACUGAGGAAACUUCCAUGGAAAAUCCUCUGCAGCUCUUUGAGCAGUGCCUGCAGCCUUCUAUAAGGUCUGGAGUGUUUGAUGCCGUGUUUUCUUGGUGGAGAGGUUCUUCCUGCAUGGUUCCACUGCCACUUUCAGAAAUGCCCCUGACUGUGAAAAACCCUACUAAGGGACUCGAUUUUUAUAGUGCACCUUGUAAAAAUCAAUUGCUCAACAUGGCAUUGCAAGGAAUUAGCAAUUUUUGCUUUUCAGUCAGAAAUAAUUGAAGGCCAAGCUUUUUUCUUUAAGCAAAAAAAUUACUCUCAGGUAUUUGUGAAUGUAAAGGGAACUCAUUUACUAGUGUUUCCAUGCUUUCAGAGAUGUUCUUUAAGGACUGAACUGGCUAAAUAACAAUGAAUUUCUUAUUUAAAAAACUAAUUCUUUAUUUCAUAAUGAUCACACAUUCUGCUGAUCUCCGUUAAAUGUAGGACCUCCCUGUUGGCACACAGGCAGAUAGUCAGGGCCUGGCCUGCAGUUUGAGACACCGAACAGAGCAGGAGAAUGGAGUAGAUGUGACAUGAGAGAUGGCUGGAUAUAGUAGGUACUGCUACAGAGAGCACCCAGGGGAAUGUUUCAGCUUCACAGAUGACUGAGGAGGAGCACAGGGACCACCGGGGUGUGGAGGUGACCCAGUGAGAGGCCCAAGCACGCUUCCUCCCUCAGCCAGAAUAGCACCCACAGCUUACCUCAAUGAAACAAAACACCGAUUACACCAGACGCAACUGCUGCUCUUUUCUUUGUGGGGCACAGGUAAGAAAAUGAUGAACAGAAGAUAAGCAGCAACCCAGGGUUUGGUGAGGCAAGUAGCUGAGAGCUCCUAUCACGGUCACCCCACACCAUGCUUUGAGCAAAGAGCCAGGCUGGGGGUGGUCAGCGGAGUGGUGGGGCACUGCCGUGGGGCAGGAAGCUGCUCUCCAGCUCAUGUUCCUGAUCCCCUGCAGCCCACAUGAGCCGUGUCUUGUGGCAGGGAUCUGAGUCUGCAACAGGAUGUCCCAAAGGCACCGAGCCCCAGGCUGCUUCCCUGUGCACUUCAUCUUCAGGACCAAGAGCGUUUCCAUGGGGCAGAGGCAGCCACCCCUGCUGUGGUGCAAGGGGCUGUACAGGGCCCGCAGCUUUCUACCACCCAAAACCAGGUUCCAGUAAGGGCUGGGGCUCUGAGCUGCUCUCUACUUAGAAUUAUAGAAUGGUUAGGGUUGGAAAGAACCUUACUUCUCUGAUUAUUUAGCUCAGAAGGGAAGCUGUGGUUGGAGUUACUCUGUUGGUUUUGGGGACUGGGCUACUUCCCUGA
Strigops habroptila (Kakapo) is the source of this 1474-nucleotide long non-coding RNA. RefSeq lists it as uncharacterized. NCBI's taxonomy places the organism in Eukaryota, Metazoa, Chordata, Aves, Psittaciformes, Psittacidae. The record is from RefSeq and is a predicted model, not a curated record. The transcript is spliced from 2 exons.